AUCUAUUUCACAUUUUUAUGU
Caenorhabditis elegans is the source of this 21-nucleotide non-coding RNA. The record is from Ensembl. NCBI's taxonomy places the organism in Eukaryota, Metazoa, Nematoda, Chromadorea, Rhabditida, Rhabditidae.